Molecule: long non-coding RNA, 617 nt
Filed under: Cyanistes caeruleus (blue tit)
Lineage: Eukaryota; Metazoa; Chordata; Aves; Passeriformes; Paridae
Description: lncRNA (ENSCCEG00000010689.1)
Source: RNAcentral
CAUUACUAGCUGUUGGCUGUGGAAGUGAAAAUGUAGAGGCUGGCGAGGCAAGGCCAUAGAAAUGAGGAAAUACAAUUACAGGAAUUGAUCAUGGACAGUUUUUGAGAAGGGAAAGAAAACUCAAGGGAGACAAACACCAACACAUCUCAGGAACAAAAAAGACAGAGGUUUGAGAAAAGUGUUCUUUCCUUUACUUUCUAGUUCUGCUUAUUAUUUGUUGCUGUUUUGGUGUUUGGGUUUUUUUUUUUAUGAAACAAUGCAUUUCUUUUAUCUUCCCCUCUUCCUUUUCAUCUUCUUUCUUAAAUGUCUCAUUAGUUUCUGCUGUGGAGUUGUGCAAGAUGAAACGUUGUCAGCCUGUGCUGAUGAAUACCUCUCUGCAAACCUUACAUAAUCCAUCCCAGCCCCAAAUCAGAUGCUUCCUGCAGGUGGAAUGCUUGGGCUGGCUGCAUGGUAGAGGCCUGAGGAUGGUUCAGGAAAAUGUCCAUGGUGGAGCCAGAGGAGGCCUUGGGGGCUGCAGUGGUGAAGGCCUAAAUUUCCAAAUAUUUCAGUUUUCCUCGCUCUGUCCCGAGUGCCAGAGCAAAGGGACCUGCUUUUCUCUUCCCCGUUUCUCCCACUAG